Molecule: small nuclear RNA, 108 nt
Organism: Fukomys damarensis (Damara mole-rat)
Lineage: Eukaryota; Metazoa; Chordata; Mammalia; Rodentia; Bathyergidae
Source: Ensembl
GUGCUCGCUUUGGCAGCACAUAUACUAAAAUCGGAACGAUACAGAGAAGAUUAGCAUGGCCCCUGUGCAAGGAUGACACCCAGAUGUAAAGACUUCUAAGAAAAAACU